This 811-nucleotide long non-coding RNA is filed under the name Cyanoderma ruficeps (rufous-capped babbler). Its description in RNAcentral is "lncRNA (ENSCRFG00000007012.1)". The record is from RNAcentral. Lineage: Eukaryota; Metazoa; Chordata; Aves; Passeriformes; Timaliidae.
CCUCUCUUGUCUUCCCUGUCAUCCGUCUGCCAAUCUCCCUGUCCAUGGUUAGUUAAAGGCGCUUUUUAUCCUCUUUUCUUUCCCACAGAGUUUGCCAGAUCCGGCCCAGUGCCUGGGUUCCAAGGGGACACGCUGCAGUUGGCCUUCAUCGACUUGAGACAACUCCUGGAUCUGUUCAUCCAGUGGGAUUGGUCGACGUAUCUGGCCGACUACGGGCAGCCCACCUGCAAAUACCUUCGUGUCAACCCCACCACCGCCCUGGUCCUGCUGGAAAAGAUGCGGGACACCAGCAGGAAGAACAACGUUUUCGCCCAGUUCCGGAAGAACGAGCGGGACAAGCAGAAGUUGAUCGACACCGUGGCCAAGCAGCUGCGCGGCCUCAUCAACAGCCACCACUCCUGAGGGAGCCCCUGGAAUCCCCUUCCCGCCGCCCGGACUCGGGGGAAUCCCGUUCCCAGAGAAGAUUUGUAUUUUUUUAUUCGCCUUGGGAAGUCUCCGUGGAGCCUCCGCCCUCCUCCCCACCCGCCCGGCGGUGGCAAAACGCUCCUGGUGGGAAAAAAAUCCCAGGAAAAGAGGAGUGUCCUGGAUAAGCUCCUGAUUUCAGGGGUUUGAGGAAGGGAUGGGAAUUCUUGGAGCCUGGGAGAAGUUCGUGCCCGGGCUGGGUUGGUUUUGGUUUUGGGGUUUUUUUGGGGUCAAAGCCAAUUUGAAGGGAUCGUCCUGCCUUCCUUUUGUUAAUUUAUUCCCUUGGAAAACCGGGAAAUCUGGGAAGAGCCGUGGGGUUUGGGCUCUGUGGGCAGGGGGGUCACCCUGA